Molecule: non-coding RNA, 87 nt
Organism: Streptomyces sp. NRRL F-4428
Lineage: Bacteria; Bacillati; Actinomycetota; Actinomycetes; Kitasatosporales; Streptomycetaceae
Source: Rfam
AGAGGAAGUCCGGUGCGAUUCCGGCGCGGUCCCGCCACUGUCACCGGGGAACGCACGCCGCGCGUGCGCCCCGGGAGCCAGGAACUC